RNAcentral lists this ribosomal RNA (478 nucleotides) under uncultured Bacteroidota bacterium. RNAcentral describes it as "bacterial SSU rRNA". It matches the Rfam family "Bacterial small subunit ribosomal RNA", at positions 28 to 505 of the family's 1533-position model. The record is from RNAcentral. Lineage: Bacteria; Pseudomonadati; Bacteroidota.
GACGAACGCUAGCGGCAGGCUUAACACAUGCAAGUCGAGGGAGAAGAUGGUCUUCGGACUAUUGGAAACCGGCGCACGGGUGCGUAACGCGUAUACAACUUACCCUUGAGAGUGGGAUAGCCCAGGGAAACUUGGAUUAAUACCACAUGGUUUUACUGAAUCGCAUGGUUUAGUAAAUAAAUGAAUUUCGCUCAAGGAUGGGUAUGCGUCUGAUUAGUUUGUUGGUGAGGUAACGGCUCACCAAGACUACGAUCAGUAGCUGGUCUGAGAGGAUGAUCAGCCACACGGGAACUGAGACACGGUCCCGACUCCUACGGGAGGCAGCAGUGAGGAAUAUUGGACAAUGGGGGCAACCCUGAUCCAGCCAUGCCGCGUGGAGGAAGACGGCCCUUGGGUUGUAAACUCCUUUUAUAUGAGACUAAUAAGGUGGUAUACUCACCGAUGCAGGUACCAUAUGAAUAAGCACCGGCUAACUACG